This 1225-nucleotide unclassified non-coding RNA is filed under the name Hevea brasiliensis (rubber tree). The record is from RNAcentral. Lineage: Eukaryota; Viridiplantae; Streptophyta; Magnoliopsida; Malpighiales; Euphorbiaceae.
UUCAAAAGUCAGAAUUAAAGUAAGUGAUUCACUUGCAACUUGUAGAAGAGAAAAAAGGAAGGAAGAAAGGAAGACAUACCAAGACCCAGAGAAAUGGAACGAACUGAUGAUUAUCAACAGCAUAACUGUAAAAGCAAUGAGAUGGUGGAGGAGGUGGAGCAGACCAAAAUACGUCUCCUGAGAGCCUCUGUUGAAAGGCAGGAUCCCUCUUCCAAGGAAGUAGAUGACUUGACACUUAGAAGAUUUCUGCGGGCCCGUGAUUUAGAUAUCCAGAAAGCUUCUCUCAUGUUCCUCAAGUACCUGAAAUGGAGACAGGAAUUUGUUCCAAAUAGCUCCAUUUCUCCAUCAGAGGUGCCAAAUGAAAUUGCACAGAAUAAAAUGUUUCUGCAAGGAACAGAUAAGAAGGGACGCCCGAUAACGGUUGUUCUUGGUCGUAGACAUUUUCAAAACAAAGAAAGCCUAGAUGAAUUUAAGCGUUAUGUAGUCUGCGCUCUGGAUAAAAUAUGCGCAAGGAUGCCACCAGGAGAGGAGAAGUUUGUUGUGAUUGGAGAUCUUCAAGGUUGGGGAUAUGCAAACAGCGAUAUUCGAGGAUACCUGGCAUCUUUAUCCAUUUUGCAGGACUACUACCCUGAAAGACUAGGGAAGAUGUUCAUCGUGCAUGCACCGUACAUUUUUAUGGCAGUGUGGAAAAUUAUCUACCCUUUUAUAGAUAACAACACCAGGAAGAAGAUAGUAUUUGUGGAGAACAAGAAGCUGAAAUCCACUCUCUUAGAAGACAUCGAUGAGAACCAAAUCCCAGAGAUAUACGGAGGGCAGCUGCCACUAGUUCCAAUCCUCGACAGCUGACCAACGAACCAUCCGGUGGCACAGCCGGACAGAAAUAGAUGUGUAGAUAAAUUGUCCCUGAGCGAAAUGUCCGGCCCUGUAAGCUAGAACAACCCGCCAAUGAAAUGAACAUCUCCAUGUACUUGCUUGAAUCUCCUUGUCUUUUAAACUGUACUAAGCUAAAUGUGUGUGUGAAAUUUGCUCUCUCAGAGAGUGAGGAUGACUAUUGGCAUCAAUCAUUGUGUUGAGCGUGGAGAUACCUCCAUUAAUAUGAUUUAAGCCAGUUUGACUCGAAUUAUCUAUUAUACUUUUUUGAGUCUUGAAUUAUAUGAUAUAAUGUGAAAUUUACUCUAACCCUAGGAGUGUAAAUGACUAUACCAUAUGUUGAACUUGAGUUGAC